This 238-nucleotide ribosomal RNA is filed under the name uncultured bacterium. RNAcentral describes it as "partial 16S ribosomal RNA". It matches the Rfam family "Bacterial small subunit ribosomal RNA", at positions 96 to 334 of the family's 1533-position model. The record is from RNAcentral.
CGGCGGACGGGUGAGUAACGCGUGGGUAACCUACCCUGUACACACGGAUAACAUACCGAAAGGUAUGCUAAUACGGGAUAAUAUAUUUGAGAGGCAUCUCUUGAAUAUCAAAGGUGAGUCAGUACAGGAUGGACCCGCGUCUGAUUAGCUAGUUGGUAAGGUAACGGCUUACCAAGGCGACGAUCAGUAGCCGACCUGAGAGGGUGAUCGGCCACAUUGGAACUGAGACACGGUCCAA